This 1447-nucleotide ribosomal RNA is filed under the name uncultured organism. RNAcentral describes it as "SSU rRNA". It matches the Rfam family "Bacterial small subunit ribosomal RNA". The record is from RNAcentral.
UACAGGCUUAACACAUGCAAGUCGAGGGGCAGCAUGGUCUUAGCUUGCUAAGGCCGAUGGCGACCGGCGCACGGGUGAGUAACACGUAUCCAACCUGCCGUCUACUCUUGGACAGCCUUCUGAAAGGAAGAUUAAUACAAGAUGGCAUCAUGAGUCCGCAUGUUCACAUGAUUAAAGGUAUUCCGGUAGACGAUGGGGAUGCGUUCCAUUAGAUAGUAGGCGGGGUGACGGCCCACCUAGUCUUCGAUGGAUAGGGGUUCUGAGAGGAAGGUCCCCCACAUUGGAACUGAGACACGGUCCAAACUCCUACGGGAGGCAGCAGUGAGGAAUAUUGGUCAAUGGGCGAGAGCCUGAACCAGCCAAGUAGCGUGAAGGAUGACUGCCCUAUGGGUUGUAAACUUCUUUUAUAAAGGAAUAAAGUCGGGUAUGCAUACCCGUUUGCAUGUACUUUAUGAAUAAGGAUCGGCUAACUCCGUGCCAGCAGCCGCGGUAAUACGGAGGAUCCGAGCGUUAUCCGGAUUUAUUGGGUUUAAAGGGAGCGUAGAUGGAUGUUUAAGUCAGUUGUGAAAAGUUUGCGGCUCAACCGUAAAAAUUGCAGUUGAUACUGGAUAUCUUGAGUGCAGUUGAGGGCAGGCGGAAUUCGUGGUGUAGCGGUGAAAUGCUUAGAUAUCACGAAGAACUCCGAUUGCGAAGGCAGCCUGCUAAGCUGCAACUGACAUUGAGGCCCGAAAGUGUGGGUAUCAAACAGGAUUAGAUACCCUGGUAGUCCACACGGUAAACGAUGAAUACUCGCUGUUUGCGAUAUACAGCAAGCGGCCAAGCGAAAGCGUUAAGUAUUCCACCUGGGGAGUACGCCGGCAACGGUGAAACUCAAAGGAAUUGACGGGGGCCCGCACAAGCGGAGGAACAUGUGGUUUAAUUCGAUGAUACGCGAGGAACCUUACCCGGGCUUAAAUUGCAGAUGAAUUACGGUGAAAGCCGUAAGCCGCAAGGCAUCUGUGAAGGUGCUGCAUGGUUGUCGUCAGCUCGUGCCGUGAGGUGUCGGCUUAAGUGCCAUAACGAGCGCAACCCUUGUUGUCAGUUACUAACAGGUUCCGCUGAGGACUCUGACAAGACUGCCAUCGUAAGAUGUGAGGAAGGUGGGGAUGACGUCAAAUCAGCACGGCCCUUACGUCCGGGGCUACACACGUGUUACAAUGGGGGGUACAGAGGGCCGCUACCACGCGAGUGGAUGCCAAUCCCAAAAACCUCUCUCAGUUCGGACUGGAGUCUGCAACCCGACUCCACGAAGCUGGAUUCGCUAGUAAUCGCGCAUCAGCCACGGCGCGGUGAAUACGUUCCCGGGCCUUGUACACACCGCCCGUCAAGCCAUGGGAGCCGGGGGUACCUGAAGUGCGUAACCGCGAGGAGCGCCCUAGGGUAAAACUGGUGACUGGGGCUAAGUCGU